GUUGAAACACCAUUCCUCGUACGAUCACUGAAUUUAAGCAACGUCAAGCCUAGUCAGUAGCAAGAUGGGUGACCGCUUGGGAAUGCCAGGUACU
Non-coding RNA from Acanthosepion pharaonis, 94 nucleotides. The record is from the annotation of a GenBank genome assembly. NCBI's taxonomy places the organism in Eukaryota, Metazoa, Mollusca, Cephalopoda, Sepiida, Sepiidae.